This 70-nucleotide transfer RNA is filed under the name Veillonella parvula. Its description in RNAcentral is "tRNA-Val". It matches the Rfam family "tRNA". Rfam says of the family: Transfer RNA (tRNA) molecules are approximately 80 nucleotides in length. Their secondary structure includes four short double-helical elements and three loops (D, anti-codon, and T loops). Lineage: Bacteria; Bacillati; Bacillota; Negativicutes; Veillonellales; Veillonellaceae. The record is from RNAcentral.
GGACGAUUAGCUCAGGAGCGCCUGCCUUACAAGCAGGAUGUCGGCAGUUCGAUCCUGUCAUCGUCCACCA